UGUUGAGGAAGAUAAUGACGGUACUCAACAAGGAAGUGACGGCUAACUACGUGCCAGCAGCCGCGGUAAAACGUAGGUCACAAGCGUUGUCCGGAAUUACUGGGUGUAAAGGGAGCGCAGGCGGGAGAACAAGUUGGAAGUGAAAUCCAUGGGCUCAACCCAUGAACUGCUUUCAAAACUGUUUUUCUUGAGUAGUGCAGAGGUAGGCGGAAUUCCCGGUGUAGCGGUGGAAUGCGUAGAUAUCGGGAGGAACACCAGUGGCGAAGGCGGCCUACUGGGCACCAACUGACGCUGAGGCUCGAAAGUGUGGGUAGCAAACAGGAUUAGAUACCCUGGUAGUCCACACCGUAAACGAUGAUUACUAGGUGUUGGAGGAUUGACCCCUUCAGUGCCGCAGUUAACACAAUAAGUAAUCCACCUGGGGAGUACGACCGCAAGGUUGAAACUCAAAGGAAUUGACGGGGGCCCGCACAAGCAGUGGAGUAUGUGGUUUAAUUCGACGCAACGCGAAGAACCUUACCAAGUCUUGACAUCCCUUGACGAACAUAGAAAUAUGUUUUCUCUUCGGAGCAAGGAGACAGGUGGUGCAUGGUUGUCGUCAGCUCGUGUCGUGAGAUGUUGGGUUAGUCCCGCAACGAGCGCAACCCUUAUGGUCAGUUACUACGCAAGAGGACUCUGGCCGGACUGC
This 688-nucleotide ribosomal RNA is filed under the name Faecalibacterium prausnitzii. Its description in RNAcentral is "bacterial SSU rRNA". It matches the Rfam family "Bacterial small subunit ribosomal RNA", at positions 437 to 1152 of the family's 1533-position model. Lineage: Bacteria; Bacillati; Bacillota; Clostridia; Eubacteriales; Oscillospiraceae. The record is from RNAcentral.